UACGGAGGGUGCGAGUGUUAUUCGGAAUCACUGGGCGUAAAGAGCACGUAGGCGGAUCGGUAAGUCAGAUGUGAAAUCCCGGAGCUCAACUCCGGAACUGCAUUUGAUACUGCCAGUCUUGAGUGAGGUAGAGGGGGGUGGAAUUCCCGGUGUAGAGGUGAAAUUCGUAGAUAUCGGGAGGAACACCAGAGGCGAAGGCGACCCCCUGGGCCUUUACUGACGCUGAGGUGCGAAAGCGUGGGGAGCAAACAGGAUUAGAAACCCUGGUAGUCC
RNAcentral lists this ribosomal RNA (273 nucleotides) under uncultured prokaryote. Its description in RNAcentral is "partial 16S ribosomal RNA". It matches the Rfam family "Bacterial small subunit ribosomal RNA", at positions 524 to 796 of the family's 1533-position model. The record is from RNAcentral.